AUGGGGUAUGGCUGCGGGGGAGGGGACGCGGCCAACGACAGGAAGAAGGAGCAGGUCGUCGAGGACUACAAGCAGCAGGUUUCCUUUGACUGGAAGUCUGAAACUGAAGAUAGGGCAUAUUGUUUUGGUUCUGAGUGGCCGGAGAUAUUGUGGCUUGAUGUCCCUAGAGCAGUCGGACCCUUCCAAGAUAGGGUCGAACUGCGCUAUAUUUCUUUCAUUGAGGCGAGGGUGAUUCCAGUAGGUGAGAUUUUGCUUGGCGGACUCGCCUUUUUUUAUUGA
Molecule: ribosomal RNA, 279 nt
Filed under: Triticum aestivum (bread wheat)
Lineage: Eukaryota; Viridiplantae; Streptophyta; Magnoliopsida; Poales; Poaceae
Description: partial small subunit ribosomal RNA
Source: RNAcentral